GAGUCAGGCCCCCGAUUCGGAGAGGUCCCUGGGCACGUGGAGCGAAGUCAAGGCUCUGCUUCCGAGGGGAGGGAGGACCGCCCGGACGCCAGGGGGCCUGCGCCCAGGGACCGACCUGCCCAGACCCCGGCCCUGAGAAAGCCCCUCCGAGCACCCAGGCCAGCCUGGACUCAGCUCUGCCCUCCGUGGAGCUCAGGAAGUUGUCCGAGAACUCCAAGCAGCAGCCCCCGCGUUCCGAGGGCGCCCGCCCCCCGCCCCGGCGUGCCCCACUGACCACGGGGUCCCCGCGACUCCCCGGGACAGGAGUGCACGUUUAGGAGAUCUAAAGCGGACACCAUUGGCGUUUGCUUCGUGUGCCCCUGCUCUCCUGGAGCAGUUUCUUCACCCCGGGAGUCAUGCAUGGCCCGGAGGAAUGGAGGUCUCGCCUGUGUUUGAUCUGGUACCGGGUGCUCAGAGCCCCUCCUUGCCGGCCUGGCCUGGUCCUCGCCAGCUGCACUUGAGCCACUGA
RNAcentral lists this long non-coding RNA (508 nucleotides) under Sus scrofa (pig). RNAcentral's name for it is "lncRNA (ENSSSCG00005009624.1)". Lineage: Eukaryota; Metazoa; Chordata; Mammalia; Artiodactyla; Suidae. The record is from RNAcentral.